GAAGGUCAUUUGUAUUGUAUGUGGACCAGUAUGAUUCCUGCGAGCUGUGGUUUCUGGUGGCAUCUCCUCAACUUCCGAAAGAAGACAAUGAAUUGUAAUGUCCAUCUCAAAGACCCGCAGAUUUUAUAGUGGCUGGAGAACAAACAUCUAGAGGUAGACAGAAAAAGAAUUUAUUUUGAACGGGGUAAGUUUGAGUUCACUUGUGCCCAAAAUGAAUAACAGUAAGUAGA
RNAcentral lists this long non-coding RNA (230 nucleotides) under Fukomys damarensis (Damara mole-rat). Its description in RNAcentral is "lncRNA (ENSFDAG00000028310.1)". The record is from RNAcentral. Lineage: Eukaryota; Metazoa; Chordata; Mammalia; Rodentia; Bathyergidae.